RNAcentral lists this ribosomal RNA (497 nucleotides) under uncultured bacterium. RNAcentral's name for it is "partial 16S ribosomal RNA". It matches the Rfam family "Bacterial small subunit ribosomal RNA", at positions 28 to 507 of the family's 1533-position model. The record is from RNAcentral.
GAUGAACGCUGGCGGCGUGCCUAAUACAUGCAAGUCGAGCGAACAGACGAGGAGCUUGCUCCUCUGACGUUAGCGGCGGACGGGUGAGUAACACGUGGAUAACCUACCUAUAAGACUGGGAUAACUUAGGGAAACCGGAGCUAAUACCGGAUAAUCUAUUGAACCGCAUGGUUCAAUAGUGAAAGACGGUUUUGCUGUCACUUAUAGAUGGAUCCGCGCCGCAUUAGCUAGUUGGUAAGGUAACGGCUUACCAAGGCGACGAUGCGUAGCCGACCUGAGAGGGUGAUCGGCCACACUGGAACUGAGACACGGUCCAGACUCCUACGGGAGGCAGCAGUAGGGAAUCUGCCGCAAUGGGCGAAAGCCUGACGGAGCAACGCCGCGUGAGUGAUGAAGGUCUUCGGAUCGUAGAACUCUGUUAUUAGGGAAGAACAAAUGUGUAAGUGACUAUGCACGUCUUGACGGUACCUGAACAGAAAGCCACGGCUAACUACGUG